RNAcentral lists this transfer RNA (91 nucleotides) under Methylomonas sp. RNAcentral's name for it is "tRNA-Ser". It matches the Rfam family "tRNA". Rfam says of the family: Transfer RNA (tRNA) molecules are approximately 80 nucleotides in length. Their secondary structure includes four short double-helical elements and three loops (D, anti-codon, and T loops). The record is from RNAcentral. Lineage: Bacteria; Pseudomonadati; Pseudomonadota; Gammaproteobacteria; Methylococcales; Methylococcaceae.
GGAGAGCUGGCUGAGCGGUCGAAAGCGGCGGUCUUGAAAACCGUUGAGGGCUAAUACCCCUCCUGGGGUUCGAAUCCCUAGCUCUCCGCCA